Molecule: long non-coding RNA, 935 nt
Organism: Halichondria panicea
Lineage: Eukaryota; Metazoa; Porifera; Demospongiae; Suberitida; Halichondriidae
Exons: 2
Source: RefSeq, a predicted model, not a curated record
GCCUCGAUCCCAGGCCGAGUUUUCGCUUUUAUAACGGUUAGGCGAACAACUGGGCCUGGUACUAGUUGUCUGCGCAUGCGUCAAUCGUUUGUCAGAUUCUGACAAAUGGAUAUUCUCGUUCACUUUCGUGACAUUUAUAUUCGUGUACUAUCGUGUACUAGAAGUCAGUUCCCGUUUUAUCAUUAUUGGAAUCGAUUGGAAUGGCUCUUAGCUGAAGCUUCUCUCUUCUCUGAAGCUUAUUCUGAAGACUGAACAACAAGGGAAGAGGUAUAAAGCUUUGUCAAGCUUGUUAAGGUCAGAUAUUUUUGUGUGGGCCCUAUGGCCGGCUAUGCUAUCAAGUCUUGUUCAUGUUUGGCAAGAAUGUAGGUAGACUAUAGUUUCAUCAUUAAUAUGGUGGAUCAAGUGAAGAGUGUGAGCUAGAGAACUUGGUGCUGCCAUCAUCAGCUCGUCGACAAUGACACUAUAACCGAGAAAUUUAAUAUGUAUAGAUCUACACGUAUUUAAAAUGUCUACUUCUCUGUACAGGAGCAAUGGCUAAUAUCCAGCUAUCCCAACAGUGCUCCUCUUGGCUAUACUAACGGACGAGACUGGACAGUUUGAGACACAGGACUGGAGUAUGACCUGCUCAUUCGAGCGUUGCUGGGUAGCUCAGAGACAUCAAGAGAAUCUACGUUUUCUCAAGCAAUGAGUUACGAGUUGGGGCCUAGAAUCAGAGAAGUCCAGCAGCCUGCUAAAUCUUUUUGAAACGUAAUUUGAAGGCAUUCAAUCAUCCUGAAGUUGCCCUGGGUCACUGUAAUUGUGCUGCAGCACAACUGGCAACUCCCCAGGCCUUUGUGAAGCAGCUCCCUAUGUGCAUCUUUUGUGUACUCACUCUGUGCAUUUUCUGUGUACAAAUUUCCAUUAUUGAUUUAUUAAAUAUUUUUGCCGACCACAAA